CGUUAGCUUAGUGCAAGCUACACACAUCGGACUUUCAAGCCGAAGACACCAACUGAUGGUAGCUAACU
RNAcentral lists this transfer RNA (68 nucleotides) under Lamprotula leaii. RNAcentral's name for it is "tRNA-Glu". The record is from RNAcentral. Lineage: Eukaryota; Metazoa; Mollusca; Bivalvia; Unionida; Unionidae.